RNAcentral lists this ribosomal RNA (623 nucleotides) under uncultured bacterium. RNAcentral describes it as "bacterial SSU rRNA". It matches the Rfam family "Bacterial small subunit ribosomal RNA", at positions 46 to 658 of the family's 1533-position model. The record is from RNAcentral.
GCCUAACACAUGCAAGUCGAACGGUAACAGGAAACAGCUUGCUGUUUCGCUGACGAGUGGCGGACGGGUGAGUAAUGUCUGGGAAACUGCCUGAUGGAGGGGGAUAACUACUGGAAACGGUAGCUAAUACCGCAUAACGUCGCAAGACCAAAGAGGGGGACCUUCGGGCCUCUUGCCAUCAGAUGUGCCCAGAUGGGAUUAGCUAGUAGGUGGGGUAACGGCUCACCUAGGCGACGAUCCCUAGCUGGUCUGAGAGGAUGACCAGCCACACUGGAACUGAGACACGGUCCAGACUCCUACGGGAGGCAGCAGUGGGGAAUAUUGCACAAUGGGCGCAAGCCUGAUGCAGCCAUGCCGCGUGUAUGAAGAAGGCCUUCGGGUUGUAAAGUACUUUCAGCGGGGAGGAAGGGAGUAAAGUUAAUACCUUUGCUCAUUGACGUUACCCGCAGAAGAAGCACCGGCUAACUCCGUGCCAGCAGCCGCGGUAAUACGGAGGGUGCAAGCGUUAAUCGGAAUUACUGGGCGUAAAGCGCACGCAGGCGGUUUGUUAAGUCAGAUGUGAAAUCCCCGGGCUCAACCUGGGAACUGCAUCUGAUACUGGCAAGCUUGAGUCUCGUACAGGG